GGGGAUUUGGCUCAGUGGUAGAGCGCUUGCCUAGGAAGCGCAAGGUCCUGCUUCAGUCCCCA
RNAcentral lists this transfer RNA (62 nucleotides) under Rattus norvegicus (Norway rat). It matches the Rfam family "tRNA". Rfam says of the family: Transfer RNA (tRNA) molecules are approximately 80 nucleotides in length. Their secondary structure includes four short double-helical elements and three loops (D, anti-codon, and T loops). Further hydrogen bonds mediate the characteristic L-shaped molecular structure. tRNAs have two regions of fundamental functional importance: the anti-codon, which is responsible for specific mRNA codon recognition, and the 3' end, to which the tRNAs corresponding amino acid is attached (by aminoacyl-tRNA synthetases). tRNAs cope with the degeneracy of the genetic code in two manners: having more than one tRNA (with a specific anti-codon) for a particular amino acid; and 'wobble' base-pairing, i.e. permitting non-standard base-pairing at the 3rd anti-codon position. Lineage: Eukaryota; Metazoa; Chordata; Mammalia; Rodentia; Muridae. The record is from Rfam by way of RNAcentral.